Molecule: transfer RNA, 76 nt
Filed under: Caudoviricetes sp.
Lineage: Duplodnaviria; Heunggongvirae; Uroviricota; Caudoviricetes
Description: tRNA-Thr
Rfam family: tRNA
About the family: Transfer RNA (tRNA) molecules are approximately 80 nucleotides in length. Their secondary structure includes four short double-helical elements and three loops (D, anti-codon, and T loops). Further hydrogen bonds mediate the characteristic L-shaped molecular structure. tRNAs have two regions of fundamental functional importance: the anti-codon, which is responsible for specific mRNA codon recognition, and the 3' end, to which the tRNAs corresponding amino acid is attached (by aminoacyl-tRNA synthetases). tRNAs cope with the degeneracy of the genetic code in two manners: having more than one tRNA (with a specific anti-codon) for a particular amino acid; and 'wobble' base-pairing, i.e. permitting non-standard base-pairing at the 3rd anti-codon position.
Source: RNAcentral
GCUGCAAUAGCUCAACCGGCAGAGCAACUGCCUUGUAAGCAGUAGGUUAUGGGUUCGACUCCAAUUUGCAGCUCCA